RNAcentral lists this long non-coding RNA (1044 nucleotides) under Cavia porcellus (domestic guinea pig). RNAcentral's name for it is "lncRNA (ENSCPOG00000031692.1)". The record is from RNAcentral. Lineage: Eukaryota; Metazoa; Chordata; Mammalia; Rodentia; Caviidae.
CAACACAGAAAGGAAACUACUUUGUCCCUGGAAUGAAUUUCCUUCCUUUUUUCCUGAAGCUUUUCUCCUGGCCCAGCACAGCUUGGGCAGAUGGGACUCUCCUGCUCUGUCUUCCCCUGCUCCAGCUUCGUGGAGCCCUGUGCCUGGCCUGGGGAAGCCAGACUGCAGCGGCGUUGGCAGGGCAAGGGGCCCAGCAGCUAGAGAGGACGCAUGGGGCAGCUGGAGCGGAGCCUGACCCAAGUCCUCUGAUGUCCUACAGCCACCAGAGGAGAUUCUUGCAGUCUGAAUGAUACUGACCAUUUCCCAGAGCAGAUUCCAGAGGGUGCUUCAUGAAGCAGCUAAGGGAUAAGAAGACGGUUCAUCCUCUGUCCCUCACGCCCCAGUCAAUCAGGGCGUCCAAACCAACUCUGAUAGUCACAAAAAUGAAACGUGCUGUGGCAACUUCUCCCUUAUCCUGCCAUCAUCUAAUAUCACUGUGGAUUACGUUCUGCUUCUUCACGUUUAUCUCUCUCAUGCUAUUUCAAUUCUAGCCUCUUUGCUUAUAUCGGGCCCGGGGUUCAACAGUCUGACAUAAUCACAGAACCGUUCUUCUGCGUAUCUUUUAUUUUUUUGGUACCAGGAAUUGCACUCAGGACCUUGCACUUGACAGGCAGUCACUGUGCCGCUGAACUACAUCCCCAGCCCUGGCUUUCAUUUUUGACCCGAGGGUAAACUAAUGUGCUACAUCAUCUACUAUUUGGAAAAAAAAAUAGAGUAAGUGAGAAUUGUGUUGUUAAUGAAGAGUCCAUUUAUAAGAAGCUAUUGUGUCACCAACUUUUCCAGUCUUUCAAGCAAUCGAUUCCCUUUUCAGCAAAUUCAAUAAUCUAGAAUUUAUCAUCUUCAAAACUAGGGUUGUAUCAAGUGGAAACAGAGGCUGGAUUGAAAAGACUCUCAAUACUAGGUCAAUAGAGAUCCCAUUUGUACCCACAGGCAAAGCAUCUUCAAACCCCAGAGAGCAUUUUCUUACCAUAGUUAAGUAGUAUUAUAUAUGAAUAAAAGUUUGAG